CUACGGAGGGUGCAAGCGUUAUUCGGAAUCACUGGGCGUAAAGGACGCGUAGGCGGGUUGGCAAGUCAGAUGUGAAAUCCUACAGCUUAACUGUAGAACUGCAUUUGAAACUGCUAACCUAGAGUAUGGGAGGGGGAGAUGGAAUUAGUGGUGUAGGGGUAAAAUCCGUAGAUAUCACUAGGAAUACCGAAAGCGAAGGCGAUCUCCUGGAACAGUACUGACGCUGAGGCGCGAAAGCGUGGGGAGCAAACAGGAUUAGAUACCCCAGUAGUCC
RNAcentral lists this ribosomal RNA (274 nucleotides) under uncultured bacterium. RNAcentral's name for it is "partial 16S ribosomal RNA". It matches the Rfam family "Bacterial small subunit ribosomal RNA", at positions 523 to 796 of the family's 1533-position model. The record is from RNAcentral.